RNAcentral lists this ribosomal RNA (156 nucleotides) under Musa balbisiana (Balbis banana). Its description in RNAcentral is "5.8S ribosomal RNA". It matches the Rfam family "5.8S ribosomal RNA". Rfam says of the family: 5.8S ribosomal RNA (5.8S rRNA) is a component of the large subunit of the eukaryotic ribosome. It is transcribed by RNA polymerase I as part of the 45S precursor that also contains 18S and 28S rRNA. Lineage: Eukaryota; Viridiplantae; Streptophyta; Magnoliopsida; Zingiberales; Musaceae. RNAcentral also lists the same sequence under 1 other name. The record is from Rfam by way of RNAcentral.
GACUCUCGGCAACGGAUAUCUCGGCUCUCGCAUCGAUGAAGAACGUAGCGAAAUGCGAUACCUGGUGUGAAUUGCAGAAUCCCGUGAACCAUCGAGUCUUUGAACGCAAGUUGCGCCCGAGGCCAUCCGGCUAAGGGCACGCCUGCCUGGGCGUCA